AACCAUGAUUCUGUGGCUUAAGAUUAUUUUCCAUGAGAGGCAGAUAAAUGCUUCUUUUAUCUUUAAAUUCCAGAAACUAUCAGGAGGUGUGGGACUAUCUCCUUGUGGUAACCAAGUCUAUAGCUUUAUUGGGUAAAUAGAUCAAAACAGCUUCUAAAUUUUAUUUUCCAAUUCUAGAAUAGUAACAGUCAAUUAAGGCACACAUUGCAUCUUGCAACAUAAUUACUAUUCUUGAAAAAAGAGGUAAAUGGUUUCUAAACUGUAUGUGAUGCAAACAGAUUCCAUGGCUGCUUAGUUCCCCACCCUUUUGCACUGAACACUUUAAAAUUUGAGUUCUAAAGUCCUUAAAGAAAAAACUCAAAUAUCUCACAGUAGCAUGAAAAAAAAUCAUGCACUUUUUGCAUAACUUGAAGAAUUCUAGAUCUGUUAAUAUUACUGUUUCAAAAUUAUCUUGGUUCCCGUGGACCUGAGCAAACUGCCGAGACAAGACAAACUAUAUCCCUAACAAGUUUUAGGAUGGUGUGGUGUAACCAUCAUCAAUUAAGGGCUCAUUUUGCAGUGGUAUCAUUGGGAGGAAACCUUUUACUGCUAUUUUACAUAAGAAGUCACUGGGAAGGCAUGAAAUUGUUUCUAAAAAAACUAUAAGCGUUCAUAUUUGGAAUCCAUUGUCAUUUCCCUUGAUUCCAAGGCAUUUGCCAAUGAAAUUGAUGUCAUAUUUCUAUUCUUAUGCCUGCCGUGGUAACAAUACUGAAACUGCUCUGAAGGACCCAUAUUUUGUAUUCUCAAGAGAUUUGAGUGGAAUAAAACAUGAAAAUUUAUUUAGUUUUAAAAGUAAAAAAAAAAAAAAAAAAAAAGAACUCCACAGGUUAAAUCUAUAUGCUUACUGCCUGUCAUAAUAAACAUUUUCUGUAUGGCAUUCUUUGAGAACAUAAGUGGUUGAAGCCUUUAAAAAAUGAUCAGACAAUUGUCUAAUUAGGAAGUGGAGAAGAGAACAUUAUUUGUUUUACUUACAGUCUAGAAAAAUAAUACUUCACGUGAAAGCAAAACUUACUCUGAAUGAUCUGUUGUGUCAGUAACUGGCAAAUUUUUAAAAUGAAGACAAUUAUGUGUAAAUGUAAAUACAGACUAUCUAUCAUUGACCAUUUUCUGGUGAUAGAAUCUGCAAACUGCUUCUCUCUGAAGAUAAUCCUUCUAGGCUAGUGUGUAAGCUAGUAACAGUAAUCAAAAUGCAUAUUUGAUUACCUCAUUGGCUCUCAGAAUCCUGGCAUACUCUUCUAGUAGAAAGGCCUAUUGUUUGUAAAAGGUCAUUGGUUAGAUUGGCUUUGAGCCCAAUAUUGUUUAUUUAUGUAAGUAUUGGAGCACAUAUGACCUAUCACCUUGAAACCUAGGGUUGGACAAUGAAUGACAGAAGUCAACUGCUAUGCAAAGAACUAAAAAGAGGUCCAUCUUCUUGCAUAUGCUAGGAGCUGGCAGCCUUGCAGGAAUAGUUCUGAAUUGUCAUUCCUAACCCCUUUUCAAAGGCAGGGGUAUUUUACAGUCUUGGACUUACUGCCACAGAUCACAUUAGGUUUGCAUAAUCUAAGCUGCUUGUGAGGGAGACUGACCACAGUAUCAGGACAAAAUGCUAUAAUUCACCCUACAUGAAGAGUAUAAAGCAAAUUCCCAAUUCAGCAAAGCAUGCAGUUCACCACUGUGAGUUCUAAAUCAGCAUCUCUUUAUGUUUUUUAGUGUCAUGCAAUGUUCUUGAAAUAAUAAAUAUUCCCUAACUUUUCAAAAGUUUGGUUUCAGACAUUUGUUUGCAAAUCGGUUCAGAAUUCAGAGCAUAAGUUUUACUUUAAAACAUGGUUAAAAUAUGCCAGUAAACACCAGUGCUUAUUAGAGCUAAUAUUGCCAAAAUAUUGCAAGGCUUAAACUGUCUUUUUCACUAGUAAACAAAACUAGGAUAGAAUAAAGCACGAUUAGAAUUAGUUUUAUUUUUAUCUUGGUCACUUGUGUCUAAGGAAAAGAAGCUUUAAUUAGAGAAAGAUGUGGCAGAAAAUGGGGACUUCUCAGUACUUGAAGGACUUUAAAAGGAUGAAGACCUUAAUGAUGUCAAGCCUAAUGAUGGGGAUGGUUCACCUUUCCUUGAUACAAAUGCAUUGUUAACCAUGCUCUAAUGCUUAUCGAUAAUGAUUAGUAUUGUUCUUUGGGCUCACAAUGGUGCAUAAACAGAAGGCUUGAGAGCAUAAGGGAUAAACAUGUUUUUGAAGAAAUGAGCAAGGAUUAAAAGUGUUGGAAAGAGAAAAGAGAGUUAAAGAGAUAUAAGUGUAUAUAUGAAAAAGAUUUACCAGGAUAGAAUUUAUGAUGAUUUCAAGGUUGAAGUACAAGGAAAAAUUAUCUAACCUAUCACUUCCUUGCCUGCAGGGAGAGAAAGAAGGGAAUGGGGCAGAGGCUUGGUGUUUAAGGGCUCCCUGUUACUAUUACUCUGGGUGAUAUUAUAGCUUGAUAGUCACCUGAUUUAGGCAAAGGAACAGGGGGCAGCAAGGAAGAAAGGUGGGAAGCCACUGGCCAGCUUUAUAAACAGGGCCUUUGUAGCUCAAGAAUGAUUAAAAUUUUUUAAUAUUAUACCAUUAAAAAGAUAUUAUUUAUGAAAUCAUAACAAGUGCAGCUUUGUGUUGUGUACUUCCUACCUUCCAGGCACUGUUAGUCCCCUUAUAAUCAUUAUCUCAUUUAACCCUAUUAAUCUUAAGAGGAGGAUAUAGUUGCCCCCAUUUUCCAGAAAAAGAAACAGAAGUUAUGUAAAAUUAAGUAUUUUGUCCAAGGGAGCAGAGCUGUUAACUGGUGGCUCUGGAACUUGAGCCCUGAGCUGGCUGCACUGACCCAAUGCUCUUGUCUGGAAUGAGAUGUGGUCCCUCUCCUAUCUAUGUUGAAAUAUCAUUUCAUUAAAAUAAAGGAAAAAAUGUAAGCUUAGCACAGUGCUGAGUGCAAAUUAAAUAUUCACUAAAUAUUGUGAUUAUUUUCUACCUAAGUAACACAUUGCUUGUUAAAUACCAACAUGGCCCAUAUUGGGUCUUGGCAUUCACUCUUGAUUUUUACUUCUUUCUGCAUUUUGGCAGUUUUCCUCUGCCUUUCAGACAUCUCACUGCUAUGUAGUUCUAUCUUCUUGGAAACCCACUGAUGUCCCUUUUAUGUAUUUGCCAGCCUACCAGCUCUGUGAAAGGAAGGGACUGUUCUGGUACGUGGUAGGCAAUCUUAAAAUGUUUAUUGGAUCAAAUCAUUUAAUCCAAAAACUGAAUCAUUUACUUUGGGCAGCAGGGGGCAAUAAAAAGUUUAGUUCCACAGACAGACAUCUGUACUUUAGUAUAUUACAAUUAAAAAUUUUGAAGUAAGACUUAAGAAACAUAGGGAAUUUUUAUUUUUUUGUCCAGAGGCUGUGAUAACACAUCCCAUAACUUACCAUUAGGCUUUUCAAUAUAAAUAAUGUAUUUUCAUGUUUACACUAAACUAUCAACAUAAGCAAUUGUAGCAUUACUCUUGCCUAUUAUAGAAGAUACUUCAUUUGAAUUCUUUUGCACACAUAGCACUACACCUCCUUUCCUACAUUAAAAAAUAACAUUACAUUUAGAAAAAGAGUGAGUAUUGUAACCAAGCAAGUUCAUCAUCCUAUUUCUGAGAUUUAUAGCCUCCCUUCUUUGCUCUAACUGUGUAUCUACUCAUGGGUAUAGAAAACAAGAAUAUUUUAUUCUUGUUCUGAUAUGUCCUACUAAUACAUGUUUAUGGAAUAAAAUUGCCAUGGUUAUUAAAAGAGUCUAUGACAUUUUCUAAAGAGUGUGGGUAUUGCCUGCACAGCCUGGCUGAAUUCCAAUUUGGGUAAUUACAUUCUGCGGUCUGGUUACCUUAGCGAUCCUCUCUUUUGCUCUGUGGGUCCUCACGGUGGUUGAGCUCAGCUGAGAUAUUUCUGUUUGCCAUCCCUAGUUUCAAAUAAUAGGAGCUGAAGGGAUCUAGUCUUUAGAAAUGUAUAUUCCAGCUGUUUUAACAAACUUAAAAUUUCAUACACAUUCUGGGGUGUGUAGUAAAGCCUGGCUUUCUAAUCUGAAUUUUCUUGGAAUAGAGUGGGCAGUCUAAUCAGGGAGAAAACUGUGAACCUUGAUUUUUUUUUUUCUGUUUCUGAUCAUAUUUAUUAUUCAUGUGGAAAUUGGAGCAAUUUUCUAAAUCUGUUUAAUCUCUCCUGUCUCUGAACCUUCAUAGCAAUUUACUAGAACUUCUGUUAUUGUUCUUACAGUCUGCCUUGAGGUGGAGCUGCUUGUGGGCUUAUCUUAGACCCAGGAAGAAUGGUAAAUUUCUAGACUAUAGGGACCUCAGUAUUUUUUUUAAUACUGAUGGACACUUUCACAGAAUUGCAUGUCAUAGAUGCAAUACAUCAAUAAAUGCUGGAUGAAUGACAUUCCCUUUGGGUUAACAUUAUUUUCUGUUAAAGACUGAACCUAUGUCUUAGACUCCAGCAGGCAAUUUAUUAUGCAACUUAAUGGAAUUGUUUCAAUUGAAAUAUUUCCUGGUCAUUGGCAGCACUAUACUGUGGCAAGUUGCCCAUAGAGGCAGAUGCUUCCCUCCUUUGUCCCUCCCCAUGCCAAUUUACUCUUAGAAAGCUUAAGUGUCCCAAGCCAGGAUUAUUAUAAGAUUAUUAUUGGGAUCGCAGUCAUAGUUUGCUCUGCACUGGAAGAUUCAAUCUGUUCAAAAAGGGCAGUUCAGAGUAGAGUUCCCAAACUUAGAUCCACUAUACCAAAAAGAAUCAAGUUGUAGCUGUAGCUGCCCCAUCUCUUUGACCCAAGCAUUUUUUUUUUCUCCCAUUCAAGGAAGCAUUAAAAUGCAAAUGCCUUAGAAUGACUUUACUAUAGGUCAAGGUUGAAAUGGCUUUAAGUUUUGAAAUGUAAGUAAUUCACAAAUGACAGUACUUUAAGGACUAAAAUUUUUGGUACACAUCCCUCAGUAGAUCUCCUCAUGUUCAUAUCUUACUUCAGAUUCAGUUUGUUCUCAGGGACCUCUCCUAACUCUAUAAACUUCAUCUUGGGGGAACUACUCAUCCUGUGUUUGGUACUUUAGUAAGAUCAAACUGCUAUUUGUUCCCUGUACAUAAUGGGUGUUUCUUUUGGCCUGGGAUGUCUUCUUACUAGCCCUGUCUGACUGACACUUGUGCACAUUUUAAGAUUCAGCUUAGGUCUCACCAAGAAGAAAAGCCUAGAGGUAGGGUCAGGUCUCCCUCCUCUCUGGUUCUGUAACAGGUAUUAAUCCAUUUUAUGGAUGAGGAAACUGAAGCUAAUAAUUUAAAUGAUAUAACUAAGAUCACUCAGCUAGUGUGUAGCAGAGUUGGGACUCAAACCAAGGUCUUCUGUGUGCUAACACCCAUCUGUUUCCUCUUAUCCUAGUUCCCUUAGUGGUAAUGGUCUGUGCUCUUAGGUCAGUUAUCUAACUUGUCUAUUCAGUUUAUUUAAUAAAAUGACUAGAAAAGAUUUAAGGAUGCUUCUAUGAUUUCAGACAGUUUGGGAACAAGUAAUAUACAAAUUUAAAAGAUACUUUGGAAAACAAUUUUACCUUAGAAAGAAAUAUAUGCUAUUUUAAAUAUGUAAAUAACAAAUUCAGGAUAAUUUUGACCUUUAGAAGAUGUGAGCAGAUGAUGAAAUGGAGGAGAGAUUAAUAGGGACCUUCAAUUUUAGUGGUGACAUUUUAUUUCCUAAGCUAGGGAUAAAUAUAUGGUAGUUUUUAUAUAUUGGGGAUUUUUUGACUAACUGAUAUCAGAAAUAUUUCAUAAUAAACUUUUCCCAAAAAGACUGUAAGGAAACCCACACACAUAAAGAAAUACAUUGGUGCAUAGAAGGUAUUUUGAUAUUACCAUAACCUUAUGUCAGAAAUGUUUUACACUGGACAUUCACAUCCUAGGGGGAUGUUUAAACAUUAUAAGGAACCUGUUUCAUUCCCUCAUAAUCCUAACACUUCCCAUGGUUAGUCCCUUAAAUUGGGGACCAAAAAUCUAUAUGUAUUUCUCUUGGCUGGGGUUGUAGGUUUGGUUGCAGGACUGUAAAGAAAAACUAAGAAAACUAGAACUUUUGAAGAAGUUUCUUUGUUUUUGAGCAAUCUAUUCUGAUGACUAGACAAUUUCAAGUUUCUACUAAUCAAACAAAGGUACAAACGGACAGGACAGCUGCUAGUGAGUCAGAAUCCUUAUGGUGCUGCUCUCACUGACCUAAGCUCACACUGGCAUAAUGCUUUACAGUUUACAAAGCACUUUCAUACAUAAUAGUGUACUAACAGAAAUAGUAUACUAAUAGAAAAAUGCUAAUUGUGUUAAGAGAUUUUUUUCAGUUGAAGAAACCUAGAAUCAAUCAGCUGGUAAAGGCUAGAGCUGGGACUGGAACCCACAUUGCCUACUGCAAAAGCCCAUGAUUGUCUUAGUACUAUAAUAUCUUUCUCUCUAUUUGCAGACCUCCAUCUAGUACUUUUUACUUUGUGAGCAAGUCACUUAUAUAAGAUUGCUAUUACUUUGGUCUUAAUUUUCACCUUUAUUCAAUUUUAGAGGUUUUGACCUCUUUCCUACUGAAAUAAUUAAAUGUGACCAAGACACUUUAGAGGUUACUAAAUAAAUGUCCAUGGGUUUUGAUGAUCCUGACUGUGUAUAUACUUUACCAUGGCUUCUUAUGUUUUUCCUUAUAGUAACAGGGAAGGGAAGUUGACUUUUCCAUUGGUGCUUGGAAAA
This 6727-nucleotide long non-coding RNA is filed under the name Sus scrofa (pig). RNAcentral describes it as "lncRNA (ENSSSCG00000055596.1)". The record is from RNAcentral. Lineage: Eukaryota; Metazoa; Chordata; Mammalia; Artiodactyla; Suidae.